UAGGGCUGACUUGCAGCGCGUUGGGCACACGCCCUCUUAGGGGAGGUAUCUAUAUACGCUGUUUCCGCCUGACUGUAAUGCCGGUCAUUUGAAUUGUUUGGCGCGUGUUGCCCGUGUUUGUCUGUCGCUGGAAGAACACACUGCUACGUACUGAGACCUGCUGAAUGCAGACUGCGCGUUGCUUUUGUGCUGGCGCAUUGGCCGUCUAAGUGCUUAAGUCGAGGUGCGUUGCUGUUGUUGCCCCGUAACUUUCUCUCUCCGAGGUUUGUUUGCAGGAAGCCUGACGCUCCCUAAGCAGGAAAUACACACAGUGCAGUGUUGACCACUGUUUUCCCUUACGUUAUUUGUUUUGGAUUUCUUAGGCUGUGAAAGAGCCACCAGCAUCUUGUUAUUUCUUUUGGGUGUUUGUUUCCUUUUGUUUGGAUGAAUGUGUGUGUCAUUAUUAGUUAACUGCCACCUGGGGGCUACCAGCCGCUGUAUAUAGGUUCAGUGUAACCUAUGGACACUGCCUCUGACCUCUUGUUGCAUGGUGUUCUAGAUCCCCAAACACAAUUGUGUGGAGUGUCUUUAAGCAUUUUAUCACCUUGUUCUGGAUCCUGUGUUAGCCUACGUGUGUAGAGUGACUUGUGAUUUGCAGUGUUAUUAUCCAGAUCGUAUUGAUCUUUAUUGGGUGAUUGUCAGACUGGUGUUAACGGGUUAUCAGUAGCCUGUAUAUCGUAGUGGGGAACUACUUUGUUGGCAGUGUAUGAACGUGUGUGUGUGUGUGUUUGAAGUACUGUUUUGUUAUAUCAUUCAAUACCAUUGACCAGAUAUUUCUUAAAUAAAACAUACAGUC
This is a long non-coding RNA of Clupea harengus (Atlantic herring), 835 nucleotides long. RefSeq lists it as uncharacterized. The record is from RefSeq and is a predicted model, not a curated record. NCBI's taxonomy places the organism in Eukaryota, Metazoa, Chordata, Actinopteri, Clupeiformes, Clupeidae.